This 491-nucleotide ribosomal RNA is filed under the name uncultured bacterium. Its description in RNAcentral is "bacterial SSU rRNA". It matches the Rfam family "Bacterial small subunit ribosomal RNA", at positions 588 to 1084 of the family's 1533-position model. The record is from RNAcentral.
UCAGUUGUGAAAGUUUGCGGCUCAACCGUAAAAUUGCAGUUGAUACUGGAUAUCUUGAGUGCAGUUGAGGCAGGCGGAAUUCGUGGUGUAGCGGUGAAAUGCUUAGAUAUCACGAAGAACUCCGAUUGCGAAGGCAGCCUGCUAAGCUGCAACUGACAUUGAGGCUCGAAAGUGUGGGUAUCAAACAGGAUUAGAUACCCUGGUAGUCCACACGGUAAACGAUGAAUACUCGCUGUUUGCGAUAUACUGCAAGCGGCCAAGCGAAAGCGUUAAGUAUUCCACCUGGGGAGUACGCCGGCAACGGUAAAACUCAAAGGAAUUGACGGGGGCCCGCACAAGCGGAGGAACAUGUGGUUUAAUUCGAUGAUACGCGAGGAACCUUACCCGGGCUUAAAUUGCAGAUGAAUUACGGUGAAAGCCGUAAGCCGCAAGGCAUCUGUGAAGGUGCUGCAUGGUUGUCGUCAGCUCGUGCCGUGAGGUGUCGGCUUAAG